AGGCACCAAAUGGGUGUUUAGAAAUAAAUUAGAUGAAGAUGGAAACAUAACUAGGAAUACAGCUAGGUUAGUAGCCUAAGGCUAUAACCAAGAGGAAGGCAUUGACUAUGAUGAAACUUUUGCCCCUGUCGCUAGAUUAGAAGCCAUUAGAAUUUUGCUUACAUAUGCAUUAAACAUGAAAUUUAAACUCUUUCAAAUGGAUGUUAAAAGUGCUUUU
RNAcentral lists this unclassified non-coding RNA (217 nucleotides) under Hevea brasiliensis (rubber tree). The record is from RNAcentral. Lineage: Eukaryota; Viridiplantae; Streptophyta; Magnoliopsida; Malpighiales; Euphorbiaceae.